RNAcentral lists this microRNA precursor (103 nucleotides) under Marmota monax (woodchuck). Lineage: Eukaryota; Metazoa; Chordata; Mammalia; Rodentia; Sciuridae. The record is from RNAcentral.
AGAGGAAUAGCUGGGUCAAAUGGUGGUUCCAAUCCCAGAUUUCCAAGGAUUCUCCAUACUGCUUUCCAAAAGGGCUACACCAAUUUGCAGUCCCACCAGCAAU